RNAcentral lists this long non-coding RNA (215 nucleotides) under Glycine max (soybean). Its description in RNAcentral is "long non-coding RNA (GMAX_LNC001600)". The record is from RNAcentral. Lineage: Eukaryota; Viridiplantae; Streptophyta; Magnoliopsida; Fabales; Fabaceae.
AUGAUUAUCUGUUAGAAUCAAAUUAGACUGAUUGAUUGAAUCUCAACAUUUGGAAUUGAAUCCCAACGAAUUCAGCAACUAUCAUUCCAAAAACCCACAUCACCAGAUCUCGAGUUUAUGGCAAAAACCUCAAGAGGGGCAGCUUAAAUGUAACGUAGUGCAGCAGUUUUUCAUCAGCAGCAAAAAAUUGGCAUGGGUAUCUGUCUAACGAAUUU